RNAcentral lists this ribosomal RNA (207 nucleotides) under uncultured bacterium. RNAcentral describes it as "partial 16S ribosomal RNA". It matches the Rfam family "Bacterial small subunit ribosomal RNA", at positions 568 to 774 of the family's 1533-position model. The record is from RNAcentral.
CACGUAGGCGGAUUUGUUAGUCAGGGGUGAAAUCCCGAGGCUCAACCUCGGAACUGCCUUUGAUACUGCAAAUCUCGAGUCCGGAAGAGGUGAGUGGAAUUCCUAGUGUAGAGGUGAAAUUCGUAGAUAUUAAGAAGAACACCAGUGGCGAAGGCGGCUCACUGGUCCGGUACUGACGCUGAGGUGCGAAAGCGUGGGGAGCAAACA